This 421-nucleotide unclassified non-coding RNA is filed under the name soil metagenome. RNAcentral describes it as "partial contains 5.8S ribosomal RNA, internal transcribed spacer 2, and large subunit ribosomal RNA". The stretch from base 1 to 120 matches the Rfam family "5.8S ribosomal RNA", at positions 35 to 154 of the family's 154-position model. The record is from RNAcentral.
GAUGAAGAACGCAGCGAAAUGCGAUACGUAAUGUGAAUUGCAGAAUUCAGUGAAUCAUCGAAUCUUUGAACGCAUAUUGCGCUCUUUGGUAUUCCGAAGAGCAUGCUUGUUUGAGUAUCAGUAAACACCUCAACCUCUUCUUGAUUUUUCAAAAGGAGGGUGGACUUGAGCUAUCCCAACAACCUUUACCGGUCGGCGGGCGGCUUGAAAUGCAGGUGCAGCUGGACUUUUAUCUGAGCUAAAAGCAUAUCUAUUUAGUCCUCGUCAAACAAGAUUAUUACUUUUGCUGCAGCUAACAUAAAGGAUAAUUGUCCUCUUUGCUGACUGAUGCAGGAUUUUACGACACUUUAUGUGUUGUUCAACUCGAUCUCAAAUCAAGUAAGACUACCCGCUGAACUUAAGCAUAUCAAUAAGCGGAGGA